This 406-nucleotide ribosomal RNA is filed under the name uncultured bacterium. RNAcentral describes it as "partial 16S ribosomal RNA". It matches the Rfam family "Bacterial small subunit ribosomal RNA", at positions 29 to 526 of the family's 1533-position model. The record is from RNAcentral.
AUUGAACGCUGGCGGCAGGCCUAACACAUGCAAGUCGAACGAGUGGCGGACGGGUGAGUAAUGUCUGGGAAACUGCCUGAUGGAGGGGGUUAACUACUGGAAACGGUAGCUAAUACCGCAUACCAUCGGAUGUGCCCAGAUGGGAUUAGCUAGUAGGUGGGGUAACGGAUCACCUAGGCGACGAUCCCUAGCUGGGCUGAGAGGGUGACGAGCGACACUGGAACUGAGACACGGUCCAGAGUAGUACGGGAGGCAGCAGUGGGGAAUAUUGCAGAAUGGGCGAAAGCCUGAGAGAGCAAUGCCGCGUGUGUGAAGAAGGCCGUCGGGUUGUAAAGUACUUUCAGCGGGGAGGCGUUACCCGAAGAAGAAGCACCGGCUAACUCCGUGCCAGCAGCCGCGGUAAUAC